GCCACUGUGGUGUAGUGGUCUGAGUACUGGACUAUGAAUCUGGAGAUCAGGGUUCAAUUCCCUGCUCAAGCA
Phrynosoma platyrhinos (Desert horned lizard) is the source of this 72-nucleotide non-coding RNA. NCBI's taxonomy places the organism in Eukaryota, Metazoa, Chordata, Lepidosauria, Squamata, Phrynosomatidae. The record is from the annotation of a GenBank genome assembly.